GACGAACGCUGGCGGCGUGCCUAAUACAUGCAAGUAGAACGCACAGUUUAUACCGUAGCUUGCUACACCAUAGACUGUGAGUUGCGAACGGGUGAGUAACGCGUAGGUAACCUGCCUGGUAGCGGGGGAUAACUAUUGGAAACGAUAGCUAAUACCGCAUAACAUUGAUUAUUGCAUGAUAAUUGAUUGAAAGAUGCUAUUGCAUCACUACCAGAUGGACCUGCGUUGUAUUAGCUAGUAGGUGAGGUAACGGCUCACCUAGGCGACGAUACAUAGCCGACCUGAGAGGGUGAUCGGCCACACUGGGACUGAGACACGGCCCAGACUCCUACGGGAGGCAGCAGGAGGGAAUCGUCGGCAAUGGACGAAAGUCUGACCGAGCAACGCCGCGUGAGUGAAGAAGGUUGUCGGAUCGUAAAGCUCUGUUGUAAGAGAAGAACGGGUGUGAGAGUGGAAAGUUCACACUGUGACGGUAUCUUACCAGAAAGGGACGGCUAACUACGUG
Molecule: ribosomal RNA, 505 nt
Filed under: uncultured bacterium
Lineage: Bacteria
Description: partial 16S ribosomal RNA
Rfam family: Bacterial small subunit ribosomal RNA
Source: RNAcentral